Long non-coding RNA from Carcharodon carcharias (great white shark), 583 nucleotides. RefSeq lists it as uncharacterized. NCBI's taxonomy places the organism in Eukaryota, Metazoa, Chordata, Chondrichthyes, Lamniformes, Lamnidae. The record is from RefSeq and is a predicted model, not a curated record. The transcript has 3 exons.
AGAAACAAGCAGGAGGGCAUGAAAUAGCCAGACACAGCCAGCUAUGGAGAGGACUGGGAGAGGUGCAUCAUCAGUAUGCCUGUUAUGAAUACAUUGUUGGUAUUCAGCCUGAUCCUGGAGUAAAGAAGUGUGGACAUAUGUGAUGCUAUCUGCUAGCAAGGCCCGAUGUAGCCAGAGCUGAGACUAUUAAUUUUGAACAGUGAUGAUUGAAAGAUGAGAAAUGGUAAUUCAUGGAGUCCUGUGAAGGCUUCAAGGAGCAGAAGGAAUCAACAUGCAUGCAAAUCCCAAAGGUUUAGGACACUACUGUAGAGAGUGACACCAGUGCCGACGAUGUACCCCUCGCAGCCGUUCAAGCGAAGAGGGCAUUGGAAGAUGCUACUGUGACCAAGAAGGAUAAGAUUGCCUGAACAUAUACAAUCCAACACAAGAAGCUGAGAAGUGUGAUUUCCCAACAUCUAACAACAAAUAGACCUAUAAUUUCUUAGCUUAUCUCUCCUGUCCUUCUUCACUAAUGGAGGACAUUGGCAAUUUCCCAAAGGUACAAUUCCUGAAUCUUUUUAUGAAGAUCUGGGCUAAAACAUGU